UAAAACCCAAUAAUACAAAAAACUAUACUCUGAUUUUCUAUUUCUCCUGUUCCCCUAAUCCUUCCCGUUCCACUUCUCUGUCGUCCAAAACACACACCAUGGUCAAACCUUCUCCUUCGUGCAAAAUACACCCCAUGGCCAAACCGCUUCUCCAUCAUCCAAAACCCAGACCCAUAUUAGCUCCAACAAAACCUGAUUCCGCUCCCCUUCACCGUCGUCCAAAACGCCUCUGAAGUGAUUCACUCCAAUCGCAGAUACAGGUCGGCCAAACCCCUUCUUCGUAUCAGACCAUUCUCUCUCGGGAUUUCACUUCCUAACCCUCAGGUGUGCUGGGUUUUGGCCGUCAAUUGCAACUGAAGCUAGCCUCCUCUGUAGAGGAAGUCCAAACCCAAAGUUUUGGCGAUUUAAGGUGGAAAUUUGUGUUGAAGAAGAUUGUGAUGACCGUCAAGGAGGACGGAUUUGCUAGGUAGGGUAACAGACUAACAAUGGUGUUCAUGGGUUGCAAUAAGCGGUUUAUUUAGACUAUUAUUAGAUUGGCCUCAACCUCAAACUCAUGGUUUGAGUUUUUCACAAAGACAGUGCUCGAUAAAGGUGUUACAUGCUGAGCCAAAACGUAAUGAUUUGAUGGCCAUUGGGUUUGGUGUUGUUGGCACACAAAAAGCUCAUUAGGGAGAAGCUUGCAGAAGAGGCUGAACAGAACGUCAAGCAGGGGAGGCCAAGAGGGAAUAUUACUUGGUAACAAGUAUGUCAUACUGGACUGCAUUGUUCAAGAGCUACUGCUGCAUUAAGGUUGCAUCAAUUAAGUGCUAUUGCAUAUUGAGACAAACAAAUUUAAUUAUAUGCAACACUCUAUCAAAUUAAAUCAUUUUGAGUUCAAGCCUAAGGUAGACUUGGCAAUGUAUGAAAGUUGAGGAUUAGAUGUCUUGAUUUGGUGGGAUGAAAGUUUUUGAAUUAGCAGUGUGAGUGUAUUUUUGUGUUGCUGAUUGGUAAUUUGGUAGA
This is a long non-coding RNA of Quercus robur (English oak), 999 nucleotides long. RefSeq lists it as uncharacterized. The record is from RefSeq and is a predicted model, not a curated record. The transcript has 5 exons. NCBI's taxonomy places the organism in Eukaryota, Viridiplantae, Streptophyta, Magnoliopsida, Fagales, Fagaceae.